RNAcentral lists this small RNA (2286 nucleotides) under Histoplasma capsulatum var. duboisii H88. RNAcentral describes it as "Histoplasma capsulatum H88 hypothetical RNA". The record is from RNAcentral. Lineage: Eukaryota; Fungi; Ascomycota; Eurotiomycetes; Onygenales; Ajellomycetaceae.
CACGCAGGCGAUUCAUUGCAGGUAACUGAAGAGGAAAGAAGUGCGAUAGGGACAUAUUUAUCUAGGGGUCUUUGUCCUGUUAUUUCUUCCAUCCGCCACACAGCCUGUUUCACUCGGUCUAUGCCCAACCAACGACCGUUUGCAUUCAUAUUCAGGAACAUAUGCUGGCCAUACACAGGCCACAUAUAAAUAAUUCUUCUGCAGCCUUCUGGCUACGCAUGGAUACGUCACUGACAGCUUCGUUCUCUUGUGACUCAUUCAUCUCUCAUUUCAUUUCUCAUUUCAACUAUAAUAGGUAAGAAAGAAAAGCACACCAGGAGGCCGAAACGAGCAUACAAAAUAUUUCCCAAUCCCAAUGAUGAUCUAACGCACGAAAAAGGAAGAAGAUCGCAAAGAGGAAACAAAACGACAGAAAAAGAUGGUCAAUCGAUCACUCUCCCGUGAUCCUUCCCAAUACCUUAUCCUACAGGGCAAAGGAAAAAUAAAAGGAAAGAAAAAAAGGCGCAAACGAAGCCUCAAAAAGUGGAAACAAUAAAAAAGAAUUCCCAAGACAGAAAUAGGUGCACCAUUAUUCAUUCAACUGAACGUCCCCGGGAACCUGCCUCUCUCCACCAUUCGCAAUUUUGAUCCCGAAUCGCUCAUGGUCGUCCGCCACUUUCCUUCUGAAAAAAUUGAGAUCAAGCAGAAGGUCCUCCAUCUGCGCCUGCAUCUCCAUCGCUUCCAGUUCACCGGCAUCAGCAACGCUGGCAUAAUCGUCGCAAUCCUCCCAGAUCAGGUCGGGUUCUGUUGUAGGCAUGUCAUUCCCAUACUCCUCUUCAUCCAUAAUGCGCACACCGUCCGCAAUGUUCUCUUUUCCUGGAACGGAGAACAAAUCACUCUCUCUCGCCCGUUUGACUACCUCAACUGGCGGGAUGGGGUUUUUUAAACUCUCCAGAGCAAGCUUCAAGUGACGACGCAGAGCAUCAUUCUCCGUCUGUAACUGGCGUAUUUUGCAUUCACUGACCAUCUUGGUCUCUUCCAUCAACCGUUGCAGCUUGACGACUUGACCUUGAUACUCUUCUAGUUUUUCAUUCUUCAUCUCUGUUUCCCGUUUGCUGAUAGCCUGCUGGUUCACACUAAUCUGAAGCUCGCGGAUGAUCUCAGCCAUUUCGGCAAUCUGUGCAUCACGUUCAGCGGCUGAAACAUGAUCCUGGUUGACGACAGCGCGUGUACGGAUGUGCUUCGCUUGGUCUGCAUAGCGCAGGGUGGAGAGAGUUUCCUCAUAAUCUGACGGGGCUAUACAUGCAAUCAUGGCCGUUUUCGAAUUUCCUCCCAAGCUAUCCUUCAGUAACCAAGUCAGGAUAGAGUCACGGUAAGGGACAACUUCUUUGUUCUUGCGCGGUCGACCAGGUUUAUUAUCUGCUAAAGCGGCAAUAACGCGACCAAGGGUAGUAAGAGAUUUGUUGAUAUUAGAGCCUUCCCUUAGUCUCUGUCCCGUUGCUUCUGUUGCUUUGGCUCGUUCUGACCCGGCAAGAUCCACGAGUCUAAUCCGCGCUGUUCGUUCAGUCGUUUCAUCCAUCGAUAGGUCAUGAUGGAUUUGUUUCAGCAUGAUCGUGAAAACUGCAUGAGACCGUGAGCUUGUAUCGUUCAUUUUCGUGCUAGCGGUAGUACGAGAAGCAUCUCCUUUGCGCAUGAGCCGCAUAAUCUCUGAAUAGCUCCGUACUGGCACAUCUGUUAAAUCCUUUACAUACGGCCCGUCUGUUGGUGACUCUCUAAUCUUCAAGUAAUAUGGCGUGUCUGUGCGUGGUGCUAGCAGAUCUCGUACAUGCUCGUUGUAUACCUCGAAAUAUGAGACGCGGACAUUAUAACUGAUAUCAGGUGAUUCCGAACUCUCAAUGCGCUGGAACAGGUCCUCACAUGUCCGUGGAAUCAAACCAGGUUGCUCUUCUGUACCCAUCAUCGUGUAGCUUUUACCUGACCCAGUCUGGCCGUAUGCGAAGAUACAUGUGUGAUAUCCCUCGAAAUUGUGAUCCAAGAACUCCUCGCCGAGGCAAUUAUACACAUCUUCUUGCGUGGCGUAGUGCUCAUCAUUCUUAUCAUGAGACCAAAACGAAUUAUCGAACGUGAAAGUUUUAUUUUCGAGGACUUUCCCCCUGUUCUGUAUCCUGAAAUUAGCCGGAUCUGGUGCGCCAGAAUGGGGCCUAGCCAUGAGGGUGGUAGAUUGAGUCUCGGGAUUCAUCGAUAUAAGACAUUCCGUCCCUCGUUUGAUUUCUGUAAUCCGCCAAAUUUGCGGGCUGGCCGUUAGAA